AGACUUGUAGAUUUCAAAUACACACACAGCUCUCAGUGGCUGAGUGAAACAGACGAUUAAACAGGCCUGAAGAGACAAUGAGUUAGAAAACAUAAUUUGAGGAGUUCCUGUUGUGGCUCAGCAGUAACAAACCCAACUAGUAUCCAUGAGGACGUGGGUUCGAUCCCUGGCCUUGCUCAGUAGGUUAAGGAUCCAGUGCUGCUGUGAACUGUGGUACAGGUCACAGACGCGGCUCGGAUCUGGCUUUGCCAUGCCUGUGGCGCAGGUUGGCAGCUGCAGCUCUGAUGUGACUCCUAGCCUGGGAACCUCCAAAAAAGACAAACGAACCAAAAAACCCCCGUAAUUUGAAGAAAUAACCUAUAAGGCAGCCCAGAGAGAUAAAGAGGUGACGUAUAUAAAUAGACCAAGAUAGCACAUUUUAACAUAACUAACUGGAGUCACAGAAGUAAAAAAUUGGUGUGCAAGUAAGACGGGGCCUUGAAGAACAGGCCACCCAUUGAGAGGGUGGACCCUGGAACCGCAGGGUCAGACCUCGCAGGCUGGUUCUCCCAUUUCUCAGCUUUGUGAUUAGAGGCAAGUAACGAAAGCUCACUGUGAUGGUUAAAUAAGGAUCAUAAGAGCAUCUAUGGUAUUAUAAGUAUUACAUUAGUUAUUACAUGUAAAACAUUCAGAGUAUGGCUUUACACAAUAAAGUUUUUUUUAAAAAAUCUUGCCCGGUAAUUCAGUUUUUUUUUAAGACAUGAUGCUGUAACUCUAUCUGUUGUUCAGCAUCUCCUAAGUUUGGCCUUAUAGUACCUGGUUAUAACCACCUGAGGGCACCCUUUCGAACGGGUGACCAAGAUCAAGUGAAUUCAUUUCUAGCUGAAUCUAUAACAAAGAAAAGAAAAGAAACAUUUCUAAACGUUUAAAUUCCUGAACGACUUAGAAGAGGUCCCUCACCAGAACCUGACCACACUGAUCCCCUGACCUUGGACUUCCAGCCUCCAGAACUGUGAGAAAUACAUUUGUUAUUUAUAAGCCAUCCAGUCUAUGGUAAUUUGUUAGAGCAGUUCCUUAUCUGUCCGAUGAAGAUACAAUAGCAGUUGCCUCAGAGUGUUGUGAGGAUUAAAGGCUUUACCUGUAUAUCAUCAUUUUAAGAGCACUUUUUUUUUUUCAUGUUUCAACAUCCUAAAACCGACGUCUUACCAUGAAUGGGGCUUCCACUCGCUGAUGUCUGCAUGGCAAUCAUGAUGUGGUUGCCCUCGAUGGCUCAUGGUGACUGCUGCUGCUCCAGGUUCCGGGGUGGGACACUGGCCAUCACCCCAGCUUUCAGGCCAUCUCCGGACCAUUUUAGGAGCAACAUAAAUCAUGAUUGUUGGAAAAUGUUCUUUGUGACACCUUAUCGUAAAGUCCAGGAAGCUCCAGUGUCAAAACUAGAGAAUGGGCCUCAGUGAAAAUCCUGCGACCAGAGUCCCGAGGACUUACUGAAAACAGACAGUCUCCAAAGAGAAAUGAGCUCUAGAAAUACAUUAAAUAACGUAUUUCACUUCUGUUUUCCUUUUUUUGUGUGUGAAUAAUUGUGACCUCUGUUUAAAGACAUACAUUAAGUGCUAUCUUUGAUAAGUAUGAUAUAAAAAUUCAUUAGCAGCAUAUUUUUUUCUUGGUGACUCAUACAAUAGUACCAUAUCUUACAAAUGAUACGUCUUAGCAUCAGUAAAGUGUAGAUGAAUCUUUUAGAAUAGUGCCUAUUUCUAAGGAAGUUAGUCUUAAAAGCUAUAUACUGUAUGAUUCCAACUAUGUGACAUUCUGAAAGAGGCAAACUAUGGAGAUAGUAAAAAAAAAAAUCAGUGGGCACCAGGCCUUAGGGGAGAGGGAAGGAAGAAUAGGUGAAGCACCAGGUCUUUUUAAGCAGUGGAACUACUCAGCAUGGUACCAUAUUGCUGGAUGCAUAUCAUUAUGCAUUUGACCCAACCUGUAGGAAGUACAAUAUCAGGAGUAAGUCUUAAUGGAAAGUAUGAACUUUGGUUCAAUUUAGUUGAAUACUAACAUACAAUGUAGGUUCCUCAACGGUGAUAAAGUUACCCUCUGGAGGGAGAUAUUGAUAAUGGGAAGGCAUAUCCAUGUUGUGCAUUUGGUAAUCUCUGUUUGUACCUUUUGCUUGAUUCUGCUGUGAACCUAAAACUGUUCUAAAAAUAAAAUCCAUGAAUGGAACUGGAGAUUCUCAUACUAAGUGAAGUAAGUCAAAAGAAAAAGACAAGCACCAUAUGAUAUCACCUAUACGUAGAAUCUGAAAUAUGGCACCAAUGAGCCUAUAUACAGAACAGAAACAGAAUUUCAAACAUAGGGAACAGACUUGUGGUUGCCAAGGGGGAGGGGGAGGGACUGGGAGGGACAGGGAGUUUGAGAUUAGUAGAUGAAAAUUAUUAUAUUUAGAAUGGAUAAGCAAUGAAGUCCUGCUCUAUAGCACAGGGAACUGUAUCCAGUCACUUGUGAUAGAACAUGAUAGAAGAGAAUAUGAGAAAAAGAACAUAUAUAUAUGUAUGACUGAGUCACUUUGCUGUACAACAGAAAUUGACAGAAUACUGUAAACCAACUACAAUAAAAAAUUUUAAAAAUAAAA
This 2599-nucleotide long non-coding RNA is filed under the name Sus scrofa (pig). RNAcentral's name for it is "lncRNA (ENSSSCG00055021488.1)". Lineage: Eukaryota; Metazoa; Chordata; Mammalia; Artiodactyla; Suidae. The record is from RNAcentral.